AGCUUGCUCCCUGAUUCAGCGGCGGACGGGUGAGUAAUGCCUAGGAAUCUGCCUGGUAGUGGGGGACAACGUUUCGAAAGGAACGCUAAUACCGCAUACGUCCUACGGGAGAAAGCAGGGGACCUUCGGGCCUUGCGCUAUCAGAUGAGCCUAGGUCGGAUUAGCUAGUUGGUGAGGUAAUGGCUCACCAAGGCUGCGAUCCGUAACUGGUCUGAGAGGAUGAUCAGUCACACUGGAACUGAGACACGGUCCAGACUCCUACGGGAGGCAGCAGUGGGGAAUAUUGGACAAUGGGCGAAAGCCUGAUCCAGCCAUGCCGCGUGUGUGAAGAAGGUCUUCGGAUUGUAAAGCACUUUAAGUUGGGAGGAAGGGCAGUAAGUUAAUACCUUGCUGUUUUGACGUUACCGACAGAAUAAGCACCGGCUAACUUCGUGCCAGCAGCCGCGGUAAUACGAAGGGUGCAAGCGUUAAUCGGAAUUACUGGGCGUAAAGCGCGCGUAGGUGGUUUGUUAAGUUGGAAGUGAAAGCCCCGGGCUCAACCUGGGAACUGCUUUCAAAACUGGCAAGCUAGAGUAUGGCAGAGGGUGGUGGAAUUUCCUGUGUAGCGGUGAAAUGCGUAGAUAUAGGAAGGAACACCAGUGGCGAAGGCGAC
Molecule: ribosomal RNA, 652 nt
Filed under: Stutzerimonas nitrititolerans
Lineage: Bacteria; Pseudomonadati; Pseudomonadota; Gammaproteobacteria; Pseudomonadales; Pseudomonadaceae
Description: bacterial SSU rRNA
Rfam family: Bacterial small subunit ribosomal RNA
Source: RNAcentral